UGCACUUGGGUGAGUCCUACACGACCAGCUCCCUGUGAAUCCCCCAGGGCUUGAUCGCAGCAAGGGUAGUAGGUCGUAGCGGUGCGAUGUAGGUUGCUCACCUGUAU
This 107-nucleotide signal recognition particle RNA is filed under the name Porphyromonas gingivicanis. RNAcentral's name for it is "Bacteroidales small SRP". It matches the Rfam family "Bacteroidales small SRP". Rfam says of the family: The non-coding component of the signal recognition particle in Bacteroides The record is from Rfam by way of RNAcentral. Lineage: Bacteria; Pseudomonadati; Bacteroidota; Bacteroidia; Bacteroidales; Porphyromonadaceae.